UUAAGUCAGGCAACAAGCGAGACCCAUGCGUUUAGUUACCAACUUCUCCUCCGGGAGAGGCGUACUCUAAACGGACUGCCCGCGCUAAGUGGGAGGAAGGAGUGGGCGACGGUAGGUCAGUAUGGUCCGAAACUUCUGGGCUACACGCGGCAUACAGUGCAUGGGACAAUGGGCUGCGACUCCGAGAGGAGGAGCCAAUCCCCUAAAUCCAUGCGUGGUUCGGAUUGAGGGUUGAAACUCACCCUCAUGAAGAUGGAAUGGCUAGUAAUCGCGUGUCACUAUCGCGCGGUGAAUGUGUCCCUGCUCCUUGCACA
RNAcentral lists this ribosomal RNA (314 nucleotides) under uncultured archaeon. Its description in RNAcentral is "bacterial SSU rRNA". It matches the Rfam family "Archaeal small subunit ribosomal RNA", at positions 1029 to 1343 of the family's 1478-position model. The record is from RNAcentral.